GAUGAACGCUGGCGGCGUGCCUAAUACAUGCAAGUCGAGCGAACGGACGAGAAGCUUGCUUCUCUGAUGUUAGCGGCGGACGGGUGAGUAACACGUGGAUAACCUACCUAUAAGACUGGGAUAACUUCGGGAAACCGGAGCUAAUACCGGAUGAUAUUUUGAACCGCAUGGUUCAAUAGUGAAAGACGGUCUUGCUGUCACUUAUAGAUGGAUCCGCGCUGCAUUAGCUAGUUGGUAAGGUAACGGCUUACCAAGGCAACGAUGCAUAGCCGACCUGAGAGGGUGAUCGGCCACACUGGAACUGAGACACGGUCCAGACUCCUACGGGAGGCAGCAGUAGGGAAUCUUCCGCAAUGGGCGAAAGCCUGACGGAGCAACGCCGCGUGAGUGAUGAGGGUCUUCGGAUCGUAAAACUCUGUUAUUAGGGAAGAACAUAUGUGUAAGUAACUGUGCACAUCUUGACGGUACCUAAUCAGAAAGCCACGGCUAACUACGUG
This 497-nucleotide ribosomal RNA is filed under the name uncultured bacterium. RNAcentral's name for it is "partial 16S ribosomal RNA". It matches the Rfam family "Bacterial small subunit ribosomal RNA", at positions 28 to 507 of the family's 1533-position model. The record is from RNAcentral.